RNAcentral lists this ribosomal RNA (449 nucleotides) under uncultured bacterium. Its description in RNAcentral is "partial 16S ribosomal RNA". It matches the Rfam family "Bacterial small subunit ribosomal RNA", at positions 29 to 523 of the family's 1533-position model. The record is from RNAcentral.
AGCGAACGCUGGCGGCAGGCCUAACACAUGCAAGUCGAACGAACUCUUCGGAGUUAGUGGCGGACGGGUGAGUAACACGUGGGAACGUGCCUUUAGGUUCGGAAUAACUCAGGGAAACUUGUGCUAAUACCGAAUGUGCCCUUCGGGGGAAAGAUUUAUCGCCUUUAGAGCGGCCCGCGUCUGAUUAGCUAGUUGGUGAGGUAAAGGCUCACCAAGGCGACGAUCAGUAGCUGGUCUGAGAGGAUGAUCAGCCACAUUGGGACUGGGACACGGCCCAAACUCCUACGGGAGGCAGCAGUGGGGAAUCCUGCGCAAUGGGCGAAAGCCUGACGCAGCCAUGCCGCGUGAAUGAUGAAGGUCUUAGGAUUGUAAAAUUCUUUCACCGGGGACGAUAAUGACGGUACCCGGAGAAGAAGCCCCGGCUAACUUCGUGCCAGCCGCCGCCGUAA